GAUGAACGCUGACAGAAUGCUUAACACAUGCAAGUCAACUUGAAUUUGGGUUUUUAACUUCGGUUUGGGUGGCGGACGGGUGAGUAACGCGUAAAGAACUUGCCUCACAGCUAGGGACAACAUUUGGAAACGAAUGCUAAUACCUAAUAUUAUGAUAAUAGGGCAUCCUAUAAUUAUGAAAGCUAUAAGCGCUGUGAGAGAGCUUUGCGUCCCAUUAGCUAGUUGGAGAGGUAACGGCUCACCAAGGCGAUGAUGGGUAGCCGGCCUGAGAGGGUGAUCGGCCACAAGGGGACUGAGACACGGCCCUUACUCCUACGGGAGGCAGCAGUGGGGAAUAUUGGACAAUGGACCAAGAGUCUGAUCCAGCAAUUCUGUGUGAACGAUGAAGUUUUUCGGAAUGUAAAGUGCUUUCAGUUGGGAAGAAAGAAAUGACGGUACCAACAGAAGAAGUGACGGCUAAAUACGUG
This 467-nucleotide ribosomal RNA is filed under the name uncultured bacterium. RNAcentral describes it as "partial 16S ribosomal RNA". It matches the Rfam family "Bacterial small subunit ribosomal RNA", at positions 28 to 507 of the family's 1533-position model. The record is from RNAcentral.